AGUGAACGCUGGCGGUAUGCUUAACACAUGCAAGUCGAACGGCCUCUUAGUAGGUACUGGCUGACACGUGAGUAACGUGUGAGAAGGUGGCGUUGGAUUCGGGAAUAUCCCUGUAAAUGGGGGCUAAUGCCGGGUGACGCAAGAGGUAAAAGCAUAAGAGCCUCAAGAUAAAGCCGCGUCUGUUUAGCUAUUUGGUGAGGUAAAGGGUCACCAAGGCAUCGAUCAGUAGCUGGGCUGAGAGCAUUACCAGGCACACUGCAGCGGAGACACGGUCCAGACUCCUACGGGAGGCAGCCGUGGGGAAUACUGGAGAAUGGGCUCAAGCCUGAUCCAGCCAUACCGCGUGGGUGAAGAAGGCCUACGGGUUGUAAAACCAUUUUGUUUGGAAAGUAAAGCAGCAUUUUAAUACCCCGACGUUCUGACGGUACCCAAAGAAUAAGCACCGGCUAACUCCAUG
Molecule: ribosomal RNA, 457 nt
Filed under: uncultured bacterium
Lineage: Bacteria
Description: partial 16S ribosomal RNA
Rfam family: Bacterial small subunit ribosomal RNA
Source: RNAcentral